GACGAACGCUGGCGGCGUGCUUAACACAUGCAAGUCGAACGCUGAAGCUCAGCUUUUGUUGGGUGGAUGAGUGGCGAACGGGUGAGUAACACGUGAGUAACCUGCCUCCUUCUUUGGGAUAACGCCCGGAAACGGGUGCUAAUACUGGAUAUUCACUGGUCUUCGCAUGGGGGUUGGUGGAAAGGGUUUUUCUGGUGGGGGAUGGGCUCGCGGCCUAUCAGCUUGUUGGUGGGGUGAUGGCCUACCAAGGCUUUGACGGGUAGCAGGCCUGAGAGGGUGACCGGUCACAGUGGGACUGAGAUACGGCCCAGACUCCGACGGGAGGCAGCAGUGGGGAAGAGUGCGCAAUGGGGGCAAGCGUGAUGCAGCGACGCCGCGUGAGGGAUGGAGGCCUUCGGGUUGUGAACCUCUUUCGCUCAUGGUCAAGCCGCAACAAUGGUUGUGGUGAGGGUAGUGGGUAAAGAAGCGCCGGCUAACUACGUG
This 483-nucleotide ribosomal RNA is filed under the name uncultured bacterium. RNAcentral describes it as "partial 16S ribosomal RNA". It matches the Rfam family "Bacterial small subunit ribosomal RNA", at positions 28 to 507 of the family's 1533-position model. The record is from RNAcentral.